GACGAAAGCUGGCUGCGUGCUUCACACAUGCAAGUCGAACGGUAAGGACCUUUCGGGGGUACACGACUGGCGAACGGGUGAGUACCACGUGGGUGAUCUGCCCUGCCCUGGGGGAUAAGCCUGGGAAACUGGGCCUAAUACCGAAUCGGACUACGCUCUGCCUCGGGUGUGGUGGAAAGCUUUCGCGGUGUGGGAUGGGCCCGCGGCCUAUCAGCUUGUUGGGGGGGUGAUGGCGUACCAAGGCGACGACUGGUAGCCGGCCUGAGAGGGUGUCCGGACACACUGAGACUGAGAGACGGCCCAGACUCCUACGGGAGGCAGCAGUGGGGAAUAUUGCACAAUGGGCGCAAGCCUGAUGCAGCGACGCCGCGUGGGGGAUGACGGCCUUCGGGUUGUAAACCUCUUUCAGCACAGACGAAGCGCAAGUGACGGUAUGUGCAGAAGAAGGACCGGCCAACUACGUGCCAGCCGCCGCCGUAA
Molecule: ribosomal RNA, 480 nt
Filed under: uncultured bacterium
Lineage: Bacteria
Description: partial 16S ribosomal RNA
Rfam family: Bacterial small subunit ribosomal RNA
Source: RNAcentral